Populus euphratica (Euphrates poplar) is the source of this 475-nucleotide long non-coding RNA. RefSeq lists it as uncharacterized. The record is from RefSeq and is a predicted model, not a curated record. The transcript is spliced from 2 exons. Lineage: Eukaryota; Viridiplantae; Streptophyta; Magnoliopsida; Malpighiales; Salicaceae.
AGACACCGCGAGUCUUAUCAUAGGCAUUCUUUUACCUACCGUUGUCUUCACUCCCUUCUCCACUUCCACCACUCAAGAAUAUAUGGCCCAUAAAGGUGAACCCACCAUUUCUAUCUGCGAUCGAUUCCCCUGAUCUUCUGAUUUAAGAGAUAAGCAUGUUCGCAGUUCAUGUUUUUGUAAAUAUAUAUGUAAAGAUAAGUGUAAAUCUUGCAGGUUCAUAUGUGACAAGUGACCCUUCCAAGAUACCAUACCACUGCCGUAAUCCUAAUGAUCCAAAUUGCAUCCCAAGGCGAAUCCCCGUACGGCCUUGAAAUCCUUACAAGCGAUAUUGUAAAAUCCCUUGAGAAUGGAAGUAAAGUUAUGUGCUUAAAAGUCUCGACCGACAGCUAGUAGUAUCUUUAUUAACGUGGUAAUCUGACAUGAGAACACUUUGUGUAAGAAAAAUAAACUAUGAAGUUCUCAUAACAUGUCAACA